AGGGGAGCGGCAGACGGGUGAGUAACGCGUGGGAAUCUACCCUUUUCUACGGAAUAACGCAGGGAAACUUGUGCUAAUACCGUAUACGCCCUUCGGGGGAAAGAUUUAUCGGGAAAGGAUGAGCCCGCGUUGGAUUAGCUAGUUGGUGGGGUAAAGGCCUACCAAGGCGACGAUCCAUAGCUGGUCUGAGAGGAUGAUCAGCCACAUUGGGACUGAGACACGGCCCAAACUCCUACGGGAGGCAGCAGUGGGGAAUAUUGGACAAUGGGCGCAAGCCUGAUCCAGCCAUGCCGCGUGAGUGAUGAAGGCCCUAGGGUUGUAAAGCUCUUUCACCGGUGAAGAUAAUGACGGUAACCGGAGAAGAAGCCCCGGCUAACUUCGUGCCAGCAGCCGCGGUAAUACGAAGGGGGCUAGCGUUGUUCGGAAUUACUGGGCGUAAAGCGCACGUAGGCGGACAUUUAAGUCAGGGGUGAAAUCCCGGGGCUCAACCCCGGAACUGCCUUUGAUACUGGGUGUCUAGAGUAUGGAAGAGGUGAGUGGAAUUCCGAGUGUAGAGGUGAAAUUCGUAGAUAUUCGGAGGAACACCAGUGGCGAAGGCGGCUCACUGGUCCAUUACUGAC
This 620-nucleotide ribosomal RNA is filed under the name Ensifer adhaerens. RNAcentral describes it as "bacterial SSU rRNA". It matches the Rfam family "Bacterial small subunit ribosomal RNA", at positions 89 to 744 of the family's 1533-position model. Lineage: Bacteria; Pseudomonadati; Pseudomonadota; Alphaproteobacteria; Hyphomicrobiales; Rhizobiaceae. The record is from RNAcentral.